CUAUUCUAUUAGCUUUGAGUUUGUACACACUGCAAGAAGUUGUCCCUUACUUUAUAUCACUUAUAAAUACAUAAAAAGCUAGCUGAUAAUAUAUAUGAAUUAUUACUUACUGUACUAUAAUUUACUGUAAAAAUGCUCUCUGAUACAAAAUGCUGUGCAUAACAAUGUGUAUUAAAAGAUCCACUCUCCACCUACAUUUGGUUAUGAAAGCCUGAUAAGGGAUCAACAGUUCAUUGCAAUUGUUUUCAUAAUUGGACUACGGUAAUGUAAGAUGCUAACCUGAGCAGAAGCUGGGGAAGAGGAUGGGACAGAGCUGGUCCACUGAGGGCUGCAUAGGCCCAAGGGGAUGUGAGCUGCAGAUGACAUCAGCUGUGACUUCCUGCAUGCCCCAUUCUCUGGGAUUGGACUGAAGCUUUAUCUUGGGAGCCUGGAGCACUUUGUCGAGGUCUUGGAUGAAAGAUUGGGAGAUGAGGUGAAUUGGUGGGAAG
Molecule: long non-coding RNA, 488 nt
Filed under: Equus caballus (horse)
Lineage: Eukaryota; Metazoa; Chordata; Mammalia; Perissodactyla; Equidae
Description: lncRNA (ENSECAG00000040775.2)
Source: RNAcentral